GUAUUUUCGCAUGGAUCACGUUCUAACGAGAGGUCAAAAAUUCAAGAUGGCGGCGCCCGUCAGAGUGCUUUGGAACACAUCAAAGCGUUUAGUUUUGGGGAAAUGUAAAUUUCCAACGAGAUGUCUAUCAUCAACAUCAGUAAACAGUCAGUGCUCUCCACUACAAUAUACAGAUUAUCAAGUUUCCAAGGAAGACUUCAAAUAUGUUAAGAAAAUUCUGCCCCCAGAAACUGUGCCUGAACCACCA
Molecule: long non-coding RNA, 247 nt
Organism: Pecten maximus
Lineage: Eukaryota; Metazoa; Mollusca; Bivalvia; Pectinida; Pectinidae
Exons: 2
Source: RefSeq, a predicted model, not a curated record